Molecule: ribosomal RNA, 206 nt
Filed under: uncultured bacterium
Lineage: Bacteria
Description: partial 16S ribosomal RNA
Rfam family: Bacterial small subunit ribosomal RNA
Source: RNAcentral
CGUGUAGGCGGCCAAGCAGGUCCGUUGUGAAAACUGGAGGCUUAACCUCCAGACGUCGACGGAAACCGCGUGGCUAGAGUCCGGAAGAGGAGAGUGGAAUUCCUGGUGUAGCGGUGAAAUGCGCAGAUAUCAGGAAGAACACCAAUGGCGAAGGCAGCUCUCUGGGACGGUACUGACGCUGAGACGCGAAAGCGUGGGAGCGAACA